RNAcentral lists this ribosomal RNA (253 nucleotides) under uncultured bacterium. Its description in RNAcentral is "partial 16S ribosomal RNA". It matches the Rfam family "Bacterial small subunit ribosomal RNA", at positions 524 to 776 of the family's 1533-position model. The record is from RNAcentral.
UACGAAGGGGGCUAUCGUUGCUCGGAAUCACUGGGCGUAAAGCGCACGUAGGCGGAUCUUUAAGUCAGGGGUGAAAUCCUGGAGCUCAACUCCAGAACUGCCUUUGAUACUGGGGAUCUCGAGUCCGGAAGAGGUGAGUGGAACUCCGAGUGUAGAGGUGAAAUUCGUAGAUAUUCGGAAGAACACCAGUGGCGAAGGCGGCUCACUGGUCCGGUACUGACGCUGAGGUGCGAAAGCGUGGGGAGCAAACAGG